GAUGAACGCUGGCGGCGUGCUUAACACAUGCAAGUCGAACGAUGAAGCCCAGCUUGCUGGGUGGAUUAGUGGCGAACGGGUGAGUAACACGUGAGUAACCUGCCCUUGACUCUGGGAUAAGCCUGGGAAACUGGGUCUAAUACUGGAUAUGACCUCUUGCCGCAUGGUGGGAGGUGGAAAGAUUUAUUGGUCUUGGAUGGACUCGCGGCCUAUCAGCUUGUUGGUGAGGUAAUGGCUCACCAAGGCGACGACGGGUAGCCGGCCUGAGAGGGUGACCGGCCACACUGGGACUGAGACACGGCCCAGACUCCUACGGGAGGCAGCAGUGGGGAAUAUUGCACAAUGGGCGCAAGCCUGAUGCAGCGACGCCGCGUGAGGGAUGACGGCCUUCGGGUUGUAAACCUCUUUCAGUAGGGAAGAAGCGAAAGUGACGGUA
This 436-nucleotide ribosomal RNA is filed under the name uncultured bacterium. Its description in RNAcentral is "bacterial SSU rRNA". It matches the Rfam family "Bacterial small subunit ribosomal RNA", at positions 28 to 477 of the family's 1533-position model. The record is from RNAcentral.